AUGCUGUCCAAUCUUUUUGUAAUGGCUUAGAGAGAGAGAAGAUGAUGAUUAAAAACAACUAUUGAAAUAUUCUGCACACAAAAUGCUGGAAUUCUCUUGAAGUUUUUAUUAUUGAAUGAGGAGGACUGAAAUAUUGGAGAGUGGAGGAGUGAUUCCUGUAUUGGGUGAAUGCAGCCCUUAAUGCGUGCUCGCUUUGUAUUCCAACAGUGCUUGUUGUGGCAAGGUGCUUUUUUAUAGUUUGCAAAUCCUCUGUAUAAACAGGAGUCAUGUAAGUGCUGCAGUGAUGGGGACUUUGCACUGCUGUUGAUCAUAAUUAGAUUACCGACUUGUAGAUCAAGCCAGUGAAAGACACACAGAAGGCUGACUUAGAGAUUAUUAUAUCAGCUAAGUAGAGUAAUUAAUGAGACAGACCUUAACUUUUCUUCAGUUUCUCUUUUUUCUUAAAGAAGAUAUUCC
This 456-nucleotide long non-coding RNA is filed under the name Gallus gallus (chicken). The record is from RNAcentral. Lineage: Eukaryota; Metazoa; Chordata; Aves; Galliformes; Phasianidae.